UAGUUGUAAGGCUAAAAUGACUUUAUUUAUACAAAGAGAUUAAAACAUUGCCAGCAACUUACAGCCAUAAAUACCAUCAGAUUUAGAAGGUUCUUCACAGGAUUGUUCUAAGGAUUAAAUAAGAGAACAGCUACAAAGCACUUAGCACCAUUUGCAGUACUUAGAAAUCUAUCAGAGUACAGCUAGUACCCUUCCUACUGAUUCUCUGUAUUUUAGUAAAAUCUGAUGAGAAAUCAAUUGCAAACAUAAUUUCUCAUCAGAUUUCAGAUAAAAACCCAAUUCCUUCCCUUGGUUCUCUAAAUCAUGCACAUCUGUCCUCCACCUGCUUCUGAAGCUCCAACCUCCUCCCUCACCAUAUUGCAGCCAUAGUAGCCUUUCUCAUCCAAAUUAUGCCAACUUUCUAUCUCCUCAUGAGAUAUUUGCACCUGCCGUUCCCAGUAACCUCAGGGCUCAGUGCAUGAGUUGAAGCUGCCUUUCUUUAUGUUUUUGAGACAUGGUCUCACUCUGUCACUCAAGCUGGAGUGCAGUGGCAUGACUGUGGCUCACUGCAGCCUUGACCUCCUGGACUCCAGUGUCCCUUCUACUUCAGCCUCUGGAAUGGCUGGAACCCGUCAUGUGCCAUCACAUCCAGCGAAUUUUUAAAUAUUUUUGUAGAGAUGGGGUCUCCCUAUGUUGCCCAGGCUGGUCUCGAACUCGUGGACUCAAGUGAUACUCCUGCCUCAGUUUCUCAGUGAUGGGAUCACAAGUGUGAGUCACCGUGCCUAGCAAAGUUGCCUUCUAAAUUCCUUAACAAAUGUGAGGUUAGGCAUGGUGGCUCACACCUGUAAUCCCAGCACUUCGGGAGGCUGGAGGAUUACUUGAGCUCAGGAGUUUGAAACCAACCUGGGCAACAUAGUGAGACCUCAUCUCUACUUAAAAAGAAAAAAAAAGUUUUAGGCCGGGCAUGGUGGCUCACGCCUGUAAUCCCAGCACUUUGGGAGGCCAAGGCAGGUGGAUCACGAGGUCAGGAGAUCGAGGCCAUCCUGGUCAACAUGGUGAAACCUCUUCUCUACUAAAAAUACAAAACUUAGCUGGGCAUGGUGGUGCACGCCUGUAGUCCCAGCUACUCGGGAGGCUGAGGCAGGAGAAUCACUUGAACCAGGGAGUUGCAGGUUGCAGUGAGCCAAGAUUGCGCCACUGCACUCCAGCCUGGUGACAGAGUGAGACUCCAUCUCAAAAAAAAAAAAAAAGUUUUAAAAGACAAAAAAAAAUGUACACAUUCCUUGAAAAGGGAAGAUAAUGUGGACAAGGUGCUUUGAACAGGCAAUAGGAACCUAUAGUCAUACAUAUAUACAUACAUACACAUAUAUAUAUAUAUUUUAGACAGAGUUUUGCUGUCACCCAGGCUGGAGUGCAGUGGCACGAUCUCGGCUCACUGCAACCUCCACCCCUUGGGUUCAAGGAAUUCUCGUGCCUCAGCCUCCCGAGUAGCUGGGAUUACAGGCGCCUGCCACUAUGCCCGGCUAAUUUUUGUAUUUUUAGUACAGACGGGGUUUUGCCAUGUUGGCCAGGCUGGUAUCAAACUCCUGACCUCAAGCAAUCCACCCACCUCAGCCUCCCAAAGUGCUAGGAUUACAGGCAUGAGCCACUGCGCCAGGCCCCUUAUAAUCAUUUUAAUGUGAACUUUGCUAGCUCUAGGACCAAUGAAAGUUUAAGUGAGCAAAUCCCUAUGCUAGAAACCAGGGGCUAAGGAAGAAAUAAAAAAGUAGACAUCUGGGGAAAGGCAUUGCCUCUCAAUGGUUCUUUUUUGUUUUUGAGAUGGAGUUUCGCUCUUGUUGCCUAGGCUGGAGUGCAAUGGUGCAAUCUCAGCUCACCACAACCUCUGCCUCCCAGAUUCAAGUGAUUCUCCCUGCCUCAGCCUCCCGAGUAGCUGGGAUUACAGGCAUGCGCCACCAAGCCCAGCUAAUUUUGUAUUUUAGUAGAGAUGGGAUUUCCCCAUGUUGGUCAGGCUGGUCUCGAACUCCUGACUUCAGGUGAUCCACCAGCCUCAGCCUCCCGAAGUGCUGGGAUUACAGGAGUGGGCCACUGCACCCAGCCUCAAUGUUUCUUAAUCUUGAGCAUGUAUCAUAAUCACAUAGGCUUCUUAAAAUACAGCUUGCUGGGACCUACACCCAGAAGUUUCUGGUUCAAAAGGUCUGGGAUGGAGCCAGAGAACCCUCAUUUAUUUUUUAUUUUUCUGAACCUACGGAUUAUACUAAAACUUUUAUUUCUAGUAAGUCCC
RNAcentral lists this long non-coding RNA (2260 nucleotides) under Homo sapiens (human). RNAcentral's name for it is "HSALNT0096637". Lineage: Eukaryota; Metazoa; Chordata; Mammalia; Primates; Hominidae. The record is from RNAcentral.